This 332-nucleotide unclassified non-coding RNA is filed under the name soil metagenome. Its description in RNAcentral is "partial contains 5.8S ribosomal RNA, internal transcribed spacer 2, and large subunit ribosomal RNA". The stretch from base 1 to 120 matches the Rfam family "5.8S ribosomal RNA", at positions 35 to 154 of the family's 154-position model. The record is from RNAcentral.
GAUGAAGAACGUAGCAAAAUGCGAUAAGUAAUGUGAAUUGCAGAAUUCAGUGAAUCAUCGAAUCUUUGAACGCACAUUGCGCCCGCCAGUAUUCUGGCGGGCAUGCCUGUUCGAGCGUCAUUUCAACCCUCAAGCACAGCUUGGUGUUGGGACUCGCGUUAAUUCGCGUUCCCCAAAUUGAUUGGCGGUCACGUCGAGCUUCCAUAGCGUAGUAGUAAAACCCUCGUUACUGGUAAUCGUCGCGGCCACGCCGUUAAACCCCAACUUCUGAAUGUUGACCUCGGAUCAGGUAGGAAUACCCGCUGAACUUAAGCAUAUCAAUAAGCUGAGGA